RNAcentral lists this non-coding RNA (25 nucleotides) under Rattus norvegicus (Norway rat). The record is from RNAcentral. Lineage: Eukaryota; Metazoa; Chordata; Mammalia; Rodentia; Muridae.
UAUAAUAAGCCUCUCUCCAAAAGCC